RNAcentral lists this non-coding RNA (25 nucleotides) under Drosophila melanogaster (fruit fly). Lineage: Eukaryota; Metazoa; Arthropoda; Insecta; Diptera; Drosophilidae. The record is from RNAcentral.
CAAGAUGUUAGAGAAUCAAUUGCAG